RNAcentral lists this ribosomal RNA (738 nucleotides) under Bradyrhizobium sp. RNAcentral describes it as "partial 23S ribosomal RNA". It matches the Rfam family "Bacterial large subunit ribosomal RNA", at positions 1 to 699 of the family's 2925-position model. Lineage: Bacteria; Pseudomonadati; Pseudomonadota; Alphaproteobacteria; Hyphomicrobiales; Nitrobacteraceae. The record is from RNAcentral.
AAUCAAGUGCCUUAAGGGUGUUCGGUGGAUGCCUUGGCGCUGAGAGGCGAUGAAGGACGUGCUACGCUGCGAUAAGCCGUGGGGAGCUGCGAAGAAGCUUUGAUCCACGGAUUUCCGAAUGGGGAAACCCACCUUCGAUAGCUGGAACUCCAAGGCCUUGUGUCUUGGGGUUCAUACAGCAAUGUGUGAGACCAAGCCGAUGAGGUUUUGGAUUUCCAGUUAUCAAGUGAAGGUAUGAAACUUCUGAAUACAUAGGAGGUUUUAAGCGAACCCAGGGAACUGAAACAUCUAAGUACCUGGAGGAAAGGACAUCAACAGAUACUCCGUUAGUAGUGGCGAGCGAACGCGGACCAGGCCAGUGGUACAUCAAAGACAACCGGAACCUGUCAGGAAAGCAGGGCCUUAGAGGGUGAUAGCCCCGUACGGGUAAUGCAAUGAUGUAUCCUUGAGUAAGGCGGAACACGUGAAAUUCUGUCUGAACGUGGGGGGACCACCCUCCAAGCCUAAGUACUCCUCAGCGACCGAUAGUGAACCAGUACCGUGAGGGAAAGGUGAAAAGCACCCCGACGAGGGGAGUGAAAUAGACCUGAAACCGGACACCUACAAACAGAUGGAGCCCAAGAUACGUUCUGGGUGACAUCGUACCUUUUGUAUUAUGGGCCAGCGACUUAAUUUAACGAGCAAGCUUAAGCCGAUAGGUGUAGGCGCAGCGAAAGCGAGUCUGAAUAGGGCGCUUAG